Molecule: ribosomal RNA, 497 nt
Filed under: uncultured bacterium
Lineage: Bacteria
Description: partial 16S ribosomal RNA
Rfam family: Bacterial small subunit ribosomal RNA
Source: RNAcentral
GAUGAACGCUGGCGGGGUGCCUAAUACAUGCAAGUCGAACGAAAGCACGAGAAGCUUUUUCCUCUUAGGUUGGCGACUGGCGGAGGAGUAACACGUAGAUAACAGUCAUAUAAGGCUGGGGUAAACUCGUUGGACAGCGGAUACUAACAUCUCAUAUUUUGUACCGUAUUCUUCAUAAGUACUACAGAGUCUUCAUGAUUGUCAUAGCUGAUUCCGGGUUGUAUUAGCUAGUUGGUAAGGUAACGGCUAACCAAGGCAACGAUGCAUAGCUGGUCUGAGAGGGUGAUCAGCCACACUGGAACUGAGACACGGUCCAGACUCCUACGGGAGGCAGCAGUAGGGAAUCUUGGGCAAUGGGCGAAAGCCUGACGCAGCAAUACCGCGUGAGUGAAGAAGGCCUUCGGAUCGUAAAACUCUGUUGUUAGGGAAGAACAGAAGUAGGAGAAUAUGUGCACGUCUUGACGGUACCUAAUCAGAAAGCCACGGCUAACUUCGUG